RNAcentral lists this ribosomal RNA (253 nucleotides) under uncultured bacterium. RNAcentral describes it as "partial 16S ribosomal RNA". It matches the Rfam family "Bacterial small subunit ribosomal RNA", at positions 524 to 776 of the family's 1533-position model. The record is from RNAcentral.
UACGUAGGGUGCAAGCGUUGUCCGGAAUUAUUGGGCGUAAAGAGCUCGUAGGCGGUUUGUCGCGUCUGCUGUGAAAACUGGAGGCUCAACCUCCAGCCUGCAGUGGGUACGGGCAGACUAGAGUGCGGUAGGGGAGAUUGGAAUUCCUGGUGUAGCGGUGAAAUGCGCAGAUAUCAGGAGGAACACCGGUGGCGAAGGCGGGUCUCUGGGCCGUAACUGACGCUGAGGAGCGAAAGCGUGGGGAGCGAACAGG